RNAcentral lists this long non-coding RNA (1256 nucleotides) under Anas platyrhynchos platyrhynchos (common mallard). RNAcentral's name for it is "lncRNA (ENSAPLG00000018749.1)". The record is from RNAcentral. Lineage: Eukaryota; Metazoa; Chordata; Aves; Anseriformes; Anatidae.
AACAGAACUCUGGCAAGUAUUGUUCAGAUCUCAUUUCUGUCCACAUGUAGAAUCCUGACAAGUCAUAUGUGAAGCACUGGCCACCAAGAAAAGAAUUUCUACAGCUGCAGAACACUGGGUUCCAUUUUGGACAGUUGUGAGAAAGAUAUGCAUUUCUUUCAACAGAAGUCCAGAGGCACUGGAAAUAUUCUUACUAAAGAAAUGCCAAAAAUUGGCAUAUCAAGGAGAGUGGGGGAAAGGGAGAGAAAUCACCAACAGGUUGAAGCAUUCUUUGUACAAGAACACCUUCGGAAGAUUCUUUCCCAAUCCCACUUCUUGUACGAGGAAGCAACUGUAGCAAAAAGCCUGGAUUUGUGAGCUUCCAUAGAAACAGUUUUAGAGGCUAUGUUGCAUUAUUCAUUAAUGUUGUGGAUAACAACUUCAACCUCAGGACUGUUGAGCCAGCACUUUCAAGAGCAGUAAAUUCCCUGAGGGAGGGAAGGAGAAAAAUUGUCCCUACCCUGAGGUUUGAAAAAUAGUCUUCACUACAGGAAGAGUUUGCUGAGGGGUUGUGUCUAAUGAGAAGAAAUUAUCUGAGAGGAUAAUCACCCCCUGCAACAGUUUUGGAAACCUGAAGCUCCCUAGAAGACUGCUAUAGAGAUUUUUUUCGUAUUCUUCCAUCCCCUGACGGGCACCUGCUGAAUCUUUGUGAGAUCCUGAAAAGGGGAAUUGGUGCUGUGGAAACAUUAUUUCUUUCUUUCUUUUUCUACCUGAUAUGCCUAUGGGAAAAAGAGAAACAGUGUCUUCCUUAUGGACAAUAUCGUGUAUGCAAACCAGAACACAAAAUUUGAAAUGAGUAUUUAGAGAGGCAGUGAGAAACAAGACAGGAUUAAAACUCCCUAAACUCUUCUAUUCAGCUGAUAUCUUCAGCUUAUAUUGAUUAUAAAAUUUUGUGGUUUGUUUUGGGAGGGACAGCAAGAGAGGUUAACUAAUAUUUAUCUGUCCCAGUUAUUAGUCCUUAGGAGUAUAUAGUAUGUUCCAGUCUUCUCAGUCUUGCAAAAAUUUUCUUUUGAAUGACAGUAACAGUUUUGUUUCUUGUUAAUAAUGUUUUUACUGCACUUACGGUGAUUUGGCCGUGAUAUCCUCAGAGAUACCUUGUUUGAUGUUCUUGUUCAAAAUUUGUAACACAGGGCAUCUGAUAACUUUUGUGAAAGUUUUACUUUAAUAUAUUAAAAGAGAGAAAAAAUAAAUUCUCAGUUUUCAGGGCUAAGAAUUCA